This 157-nucleotide ribosomal RNA is filed under the name Klebsiella pneumoniae. Its description in RNAcentral is "partial 23S ribosomal RNA". It matches the Rfam family "Bacterial large subunit ribosomal RNA", at positions 2786 to 2925 of the family's 2925-position model. Lineage: Bacteria; Pseudomonadati; Pseudomonadota; Gammaproteobacteria; Enterobacterales; Enterobacteriaceae. The record is from RNAcentral.
CACGAAACUUGCCCCGAGAUGAGUUCUCCCUGAGACUUUAAGUCUCCUGAAGGAACGUCAAAGACGAUGCCGUUGAUAGGCCGGGUGUGUAAGCGCAGCGAUGCGUUGAGCUAACCGGUACUAAUGAACCGUGAGGCUUAACCUUACAACGCCGAAG